AAGUCGUAACAAGGUUACCGUAGGUGAACCUGCGGUAGGAUCAUUAUUGAAUUCCACACACCUUAUGCAUGUGCACCGUAUCACGACGGCCCCACUGGUCGUCGCACUCUCACCCACCCACACACACUUCUCGAAUGUACCUCAUUUUAAUGAAUGGACAACUUUUAGCAACGGAUCUCUUGGCUCUC
This 188-nucleotide unclassified non-coding RNA is filed under the name fungal sp. RNAcentral describes it as "partial internal transcribed spacer region". The stretch from base 1 to 46 matches the Rfam family "Eukaryotic small subunit ribosomal RNA", at positions 1786 to 1831 of the family's 1831-position model. The record is from RNAcentral. Lineage: Eukaryota; Fungi.